This 566-nucleotide ribosomal RNA is filed under the name Lactiplantibacillus plantarum. RNAcentral's name for it is "bacterial SSU rRNA". It matches the Rfam family "Bacterial small subunit ribosomal RNA", at positions 371 to 928 of the family's 1533-position model. The record is from RNAcentral. Lineage: Bacteria; Bacillati; Bacillota; Bacilli; Lactobacillales; Lactobacillaceae.
AUGGACGAAAGUCUGAUGGAGCAACGCCGCGUGAGUGAAGAAGGGUUUCGGCUCGUAAAACUCUGUUGUUAAAGAAGAACAUAUCUGAGAGUAACUGUUCAGGUAUUGACGGUAUUUAACCAUAAAGCCACGGCUAACUACGUGCCAGCAGCCGCGGUAAUACGUAUGUGGCAAGCGUUGUCCGGAUUUAUGGGGCGUAAAGCGAGCGCAGGCGGUUUUUUAGGUCUGAUGUGAAAGCCUUCGGCUUAACCGAAGAAGUGCAUCGGAAACUGGGAAACUUGAGUGCAGAAGAGGACAGUGGAACUCCAUGUGUAGCGGUGAAAUGCGUAGAUAUAUGGAAGAACACCAGUGGCGAAGGCGGCUGUCUGGUCUGUAACUGACGCUGAGGCUCGAAAGUAUGGGUAGCAAACAGGAUUAGAUACCCUGGUAGUCCAUACCGUAAACGAUGAAUGCUAAGUGUUGGAGGGUUUCCGCCCUUCAGUGCUGCAACUAACGCAUUAAGCAUUCCGCCUGGGGAGUACGGCCGCAAGGCUGAAACUCAAAGGAAUUGACGGGGGCCCGCACAA